AGUGAACGCUGGCGGUAGGCCUAACACAUGCAAGUCGAACGGCAGCACAGUAAGGGCUUGCUCUUACGGGUGGCGAGUGGCGGACGGGUGAGGAAUACAUCGGAAUCUACUUUUUCGUGGGGGAUAACGUAGGGAAACUUACGCUAAUACCGCAUACGACCUACGGGUGAAAGCAGGGGAUCUUCGGACCUUGCGCGAUUGAAUGAGCCGAUGUCGGAUUAGCUAGUUGGCGGGGUAAAGGCCCACCAAGGCGACGAUCCGUAGCUGGUCUGAGGGGAUGAUCAGCCACACUGGAACUGAGACACGGUCCAGACUCCUACGGGGGGCAGCAGUGGGGAAUAUUGGACAAUGGGCGCAAGCCUGAUCCAGCCAUACCGCGUGGGUGAAGAAGGCCUUCGGGUUGUAAAGCCCUUUUGUUGGGAAAGAAAAGCAGCAGGUUAAUACCCCGCUGUUCUGACGGUACCCAAAGAAUAAGCACCGGCUAACUUCGUG
Molecule: ribosomal RNA, 492 nt
Filed under: uncultured bacterium
Lineage: Bacteria
Description: partial 16S ribosomal RNA
Rfam family: Bacterial small subunit ribosomal RNA
Source: RNAcentral